UCCGGAGGGUGCGAGCGUUGUCCGGAAUCACUGGGCGUAAAGGGCGCGUAGGCGGCGCGGGAAGUCAUCGGGUAAAGCUCAGGGCUCAACUCUGAGUCGGCCGGUGAUACUCUCGUGCUUGAGCACUGUAGAGGCAGGUGGAAUUCCGGGUGUAGCGGUGGAAUGCGUAGAGAUCCGGAAGAACACCGGUGGCGAAGGCGGCCUGCUGGGCAGUAGCUGACGCUGAUGCGCGACAGCGUGGGGAGCAAACAGG
RNAcentral lists this ribosomal RNA (253 nucleotides) under uncultured bacterium. RNAcentral describes it as "partial 16S ribosomal RNA". It matches the Rfam family "Bacterial small subunit ribosomal RNA", at positions 524 to 776 of the family's 1533-position model. The record is from RNAcentral.